CACUGUGGGACAGGGGAACCCAGGUUUGUGUGUCCUUCCACACAUCACUGUGGGACAGGGGAACCCAGGUUUGUGUGUCCUUCCACACAUCACUGUGGGACAGGGGAACCCAGAUUUGUGUGUCCUUCCACACAUCACUUUGGGACAGGGGAACCCAGCUUUGCGUGUCCUUCCACACAUCAGGGCUGUGGGAUAAGGGAACCCAGC
Long non-coding RNA from Branchiostoma floridae (Florida lancelet), 207 nucleotides. RefSeq lists it as uncharacterized. The record is from RefSeq and is a predicted model, not a curated record. Lineage: Eukaryota; Metazoa; Chordata; Leptocardii; Amphioxiformes; Branchiostomatidae. The transcript is spliced from 3 exons.